Molecule: ribosomal RNA, 253 nt
Filed under: uncultured bacterium
Lineage: Bacteria
Description: partial 16S ribosomal RNA
Rfam family: Bacterial small subunit ribosomal RNA
Source: RNAcentral
UACGUAGGGUGCAAGCGUUAAUCGGAAUUACUGGGCGUAAAGCGUGCGCAGGCGGUUUUGUAAGUCUGUCGUGAAAUCCCCGGGCUUAACCUGGGAAUGGCAUUUGGGACUGCAAGGCUUGAGUGCGGCAGAGGAGACUGGAAUUCCUGGUGUAGCAGUGAAAUGCGUAGAUAUCAGGAGGAAUACCGAUGGCGAAGGCAGGUCUCUGGGCUGACACUGACGCUCAUGCACGAAAGCGUGGGGAGCAAACAGG